GAAAACAUUUUCUAAAAUGGAAUUCAACCAACCGGGUGCCUUGCGUAGCACGUUUCUAAAUUUGCACCAGGACCGUCACCUUCUCCCUUCUCCUCUCUCGUGUUCCUUGUCCCUCUGUCCCUCCCUCUUUUAGACUCUUUUCUGCUUGCUCUUGUCUCUGUUGUGAUUACGGGUUUUGGUCCUCAUUGAAGGCCCUUGUGGAGUUUCACUUCUGUUUUUUCGGUUUUUCGUUGGUUGGAAUUCAUAUCCGGGGGAAAGAGGAGGGAAUCGAAGGGGGUAGGAGUUGCUAUCUCGUCGAUCGGAGGCUUCCCAGCACCUCUUGUUUCCUGCAAUUCUUGAUGGAGGCGAGAGGAAUAUCCAGCUACACCGUUCGAUUGGUCCUAUUCGAUCUGCUCUGAGGUUUGCGCUGGGUUUUUUUGUUGAUUUUUUCGGGAGUUUGUAUGGAUUUCGGGUUUGGAGAAGGUAGGGUUUGCUGUUUCACUGUGGACAGGGGUAAGGGAAAUUUUCCAGGGAAUUUUUUUGGCGGGAGUUCUGGCGGCGGAUUCCCGGAUGGAGGCGGAGAUCGGUGGCGGGAGUGGCAGGUUCUGCGCGGGAGGCGGAGAUCGGUGGCGGGAGUGGCAGGUUCUGCGCGGGAGGCGUGCCGGGGUUUCUUGUGUAGGGAAAGAGCUUGGUGCAGAGCCGGGAGUGGGAGGUGGGCGAUUGGCGAUGGGACGGGGAUCUGUUCGUGGCUAGACCCUUGAGCGAGGUUCCGGCCGGUCGGCAGUUUUUGCCAGUGUCGGUCGGUGAGGGAUCCUCGGAAGGUUCGGAUGAGGGAAAGGGCAAGGUGGAGAAGCGGCGAAGGUUUCAGGAGGAGGGGCAGGAGGCGGGGGGAGGUGGAUUUCUGGCCUUGAAACUGGGGGAGCAAGGCGAACGGGGUGGAUGGCAGCAACUGCAAGAGAUCGAAGGUGCAGGGAGGGGGAACGGGAACGUCUUCGUCGGCGGGACGGUCGGCAUGUCAGGGCAAGGGUUGCAGGGUCGAUCUCAGCAGCGCCAAGGACUACCAUCGUCGCCAUAAGGUCUGUGAGGUACACGCUAAAGCGAGCAUGGUGCGCGUUGGCGGGACUGUGCAGAGGUUGUGUCAGCAGUGUUGCAGGUUCGGGCUUGGCCAGUUCCUUUUUGUUUCCCUAGAAUCGAUUUCGAUUUGUAGGAAGGAGCACCUUAUAUUAUAUCCUGUUACAUUGCAUUGGUGCUCAAUGAAACAGGUUUUGUUGACGUAUUCCUCUCAAAAUGAACAUUCUCUCGUUUGGUUUUCAUGGUAGAAUUGCUAAAAGUUACACUGAUUUAA
Long non-coding RNA from Nymphaea colorata (pocket water lily), 1324 nucleotides. RefSeq lists it as uncharacterized. The transcript has 2 exons. NCBI's taxonomy places the organism in Eukaryota, Viridiplantae, Streptophyta, Magnoliopsida, Nymphaeales, Nymphaeaceae. The record is from RefSeq and is a predicted model, not a curated record.